This 380-nucleotide unclassified non-coding RNA is filed under the name uncultured bacterium. Its description in RNAcentral is "contains 16S-23S intergenic spacer region". The record is from RNAcentral.
UCCGGCUUGACGCCGGCAGUCCCCCGAGAGUCCUCAGCUUCACCUGUUAGUAACACGGGGCAAGGGUUGCGCUCGUUGCGGGACUUAACCCAACAUCUCACGACACGAGCUGACGACAGCCAUGCAGCACCUGUGCACGGGUCCCGAAGGAGCGCCCGCUUUCACGGGUUUCACCCUGCAUGUCAAGCCCAGGUAAGGUUCUUCGCGUUGCAUCGAAUUAAGCCGCAUGCUCCGCCGCUUGUGCGGGUCCCCGUCAAUUCCUUUGAGUUUUAGCCUUGCGGCCGUACUCCCCAGGCGGAGUGCUUAAUGCGUUAGCUGCGGCACAGAGAGGGUUGAAGACCUCCCCACACCUAGCACUCAACGUUUACGGCUGGGACUAC